AUAUCAGCUUAAUAGAGAGGAUGCUUUUGAACCUUAACUGAUUUUCCUUUGUCUUAUUUCUCAGUUGAUCUUCAACUCAGAUGGAGGUGUUAUGUGUAUCCUUAUCACACCCUCCCCCAAGAACUAUUGAGGGAACUAAAGAAUUCUAGCAGGACAGGGAAGAAUACCAUUUUCCCCAGAAUUUCUGGUACAUGGAUGAUGAUCAAUAAAUAUUAUGGUGAAAGAACAGUUUGUCAUAAUUUUACAGAAGGCAUACCAGAGGAUCAAGAUGAACAUUGGCUCAGGGAGGAUCUACUCUCAACCAUAGGGAUAAUCUUGGAUUUUCAUUGAUCAUUCCCUUUUCAUUUUUCAUUGUCUUUUCUUUCCAGUUUGCUUUUGUAUUUCCUUACUUUCAUUACCAGGUCAUUUUCCUUAAUUCCUUCUUUUUGGAAAACAGCAUGAAUAAAUGGAAGGAACAUGAAUUUUGGAGUAUAAAUAGACCUGAGUUUCAAUACAACUUUGCCUGUUACUAGAUGUGCAUUCUUGGGUAAGUUAUUUACCCUUUGGAACUCUACUGUUUUCUUCUAAGGAUUGCCUGUGAAAAUACGAAUAAUAUUCAUAAGGCAUCUAGCACAGUGCCUGGCCCAUGGAAGACAUAUGUUACCUGUGAUUAUUAACUUUACUACUCUGACUUUCUUGCCCUGCAUUUUUUUCUGUGAUCACUUGCCAUUUUUUAUUGGGCUUAGAUGAAUCUAUACAUUUGUGAUCUCUGAAAAUAGUGGUUUACCUUCUUUCCUCUUAAUAUUAGGUCAGCAAUAUGACAUCAGAAAAACAGCUUAUGCAGUCAGCCUGAAUUACAAGAGAAUGAAUAAAAGUUGAAUGUGUCCAGAAUCAGAGUACUAGAGCCUUGAUGGAUUUUAGAGACCAGCUGCUUCAACUCUUUUUAUUUUAUAGAUGAACAAACUGACAUAGCAAAGAUAAGCAAUUUGCCCAAAGCCCAUGGAAGAGCAUAUGUAGAUGUAGAUACUGAGAUUUCCCCACUUAGGAAAAUACUUUAUUUUAAUUAAGACAAAAUUCAUAAAACAUAAGUUAACCAUUUAAAAAUGUAUAAUUCAGUGGCAAACAGUACAUUUACAAUGUGCAGCCCUCACCUUUAUCUAUUUCCAAAACAUUUUCAUCACCCCGUGUUCAUUAAGCAGUCACCCCGCCCCAUCCUCCCUCAUACCAGCCCCUGGUAAUCACUAAUCUGCUUUCUGUUUCUAUGGACUUGCUUAUUCUGGACAUUUCAUGCAAAUAGAAUCAUAUACUCUGUGAUCUUUUGUGUCUGAUCUCUUUUACUCAGUAUAACGUCUUCAAUUCAUACUCAUUGUUUAAAAAUUCAAACAUUAAGGACAGUAUAAUGAAGAAACUAAAAAAAUAUUCUGUAAUCUCACCUACCUUUGAUGAAGACUAUUAACAGUGUGGUGAUUGUUGCUGUUACCAUUGUCUCCCACAUAAAUGGGUUUACACUAUUCACACCUUUUACUUGAAUUUGGUUUUUCACUUAAGACUUGUGAAACAGUUUCCUGUGUCAACACACAUACAGAUCUCUUCAUUCUCUUUUAUACUUUGUAUGUUUUAUUAUAUGGUUAGUCUAGG
Molecule: long non-coding RNA, 1617 nt
Filed under: Canis lupus familiaris (dog)
Lineage: Eukaryota; Metazoa; Chordata; Mammalia; Carnivora; Canidae
Description: lncRNA (ENSCAFG00000046350.2, ENSCAFG00845017511.1)
Source: RNAcentral